CUUAGCUAUUUUAUCGGAAGUACCUUUAGUGACUGUCAGACUGACAGCCUCUAAAGACAUUUAAUUUAAAUCCUGCAAUGUAAACAUUGACAUUACUGCAAAACAGCAAUAUUUUAUCUUGAACGACUAAAGCUACAGAACCACUGCACCAAGACCACUUUAUUGAGAUGGUCUGUGUGACUGUAGUGGUUUUUUGAGUAUAAGGCACAUUGCAGGUUUAACAAGAAUAAAUAACAUCUUAAGUUUUAACAGUCAUUUCACUUUGCCUUUAGACAAAGCACCAUUUUGCAUGAAUCACAG
Molecule: non-coding RNA, 300 nt
Organism: Pelobates cultripes (western spadefoot toad)
Lineage: Eukaryota; Metazoa; Chordata; Amphibia; Anura; Pelobatidae
Source: the annotation of a GenBank genome assembly